UCACUGUUGUGGUUCAUAGGGUUGAC
This 26-nucleotide non-coding RNA is filed under the name Mus musculus (house mouse). Lineage: Eukaryota; Metazoa; Chordata; Mammalia; Rodentia; Muridae. The record is from RNAcentral.